Molecule: ribosomal RNA, 51 nt
Filed under: Russula curtipes
Lineage: Eukaryota; Fungi; Basidiomycota; Agaricomycetes; Russulales; Russulaceae
Description: partial 25S large subunit ribosomal RNA
Source: RNAcentral
UCUUGACCUCAAAUCGGGUGAGACUACCCGCUGAACUUAAGCAUAUCAAUA